AAAGAUUUGUACGGUAUUAAGGAGAAGCAAUACGAGGAAAGCAAGGAGAUAAGAGUUAGACAGUAAUGUCUCGUGGUAGCAGAAUGUCAGGAACGUGCCAUAGGUUUCGGAGACGCUGAAGCGACCAACUUUGUCCCCACGGUCCAGCUUGUUAAUAGCGAUCCAUCGAGCUUUCCAUGGGGGUUGUUUGAAACUUUAACUAGUUUCCACUUGGUCCGUAGUCGAAGCUGCAACCAUAUGAGGUGAGAUUCGAUUCCGUCAAAACGUUCCUUCCUUCAAAACACUGGGGAGAAAUCUUCGACGAAUUUUCCUUUUUUAGCAUAUAUCUCUUUAUACAAUUGAUAGAUUUAUACAAAUCCGAUAUAAAUGAUGCGUGUGAUUAUAUUGAGACCAGAGAUAAACGAAUAUUCAUAAAUAAAUAACAAACAUCCAUAAAUAAAUAAAUAAUUAUACGAAUAUGCAUUACAGAUUGCAUAUCAUUAAUUUACGAUGAGAUUAUUUCCAGCUCUAUUUAUUUAUUAUUCGAGGUGAUGAAAAACAUUUGGUUUCUGUAUAUUUGUUCCACGGAAAAUGUUUAAUCUCCGCUCGAAUAAAUAUUCCAUCGAUAUCUUUUUUCUAAAAAGAUUUGAUUAAUUAUAAUAUUUUAUUUGUUUGUAAAAUUAAAAUUGUCAACAAGGAAAUUCCGUAUCCCGGAUAGAUAUCAAGAAUAUCGCAGAAUUUUUUAUCGUUCAAAAAUUUAGAAGGAAAGAAUUUGAACACGAAGAAGAAAUAACCAUAGAAGAUGAGAAAAUAUAUAUAUAUAUAUAUAUGUAGCUGGCUAUGUAUCGAGUUUUACACUAUACUGGCGAGAAUGUACUUGCACCUGAGCCAAUUUGCACAUCAAGAAUUUAUGGCUUCCUUGCUAAUGAAAGGCUCGCUACACACAUUUUCUCUUGGAGGGAUCAAAAAAUAAGAAGGAAAGAUGUAAUAAAGGAUUUUACAUUUUAAUCGAACAAUAUGUAAGUAUCGCGUAUAUUUAAAAGAAACAUCGCUCUUUCUAAUGUGUUAAAAUAAUCAAUAAUAUCUUCCAUUUUAUAUUCGCUCAAACUUCUCUUCAAAUUUUUAUUGAAAAAUAGAAAUGAUAAAACCCAAAUAAUUUUCCAUAUUUGUUCUAAUUUCCAGAGCACAGAGAAACAAAGCAACGUUUGAUCGAGAUUAAACCAAUUUUCCUCUCUUCCUCGAAAACUUGGAAAUAUUUCUAAGCCAGAACACUUUUUAAAUUAUGCCCUCGUGUGACAUCUUGGGAUCGUCUCGAAAUGUAUUCACCCUUGGCUUUGUGUGCGUCCACGUCGAGACGAAAAGUCUGCGAAUAAACCCCUCUCCAACGUCCGGUCAGGAUUCGAGAAUAUUUUUAUCGGGUCUGGUUUUCUUUUUUCUUUCUUUCUUUCUAUCUUUCUUUCUUUUUUUAGGUUCUUUUUCGUAUUUUUUUUUUUUUUCCAUCGGCCAACAGCUGGGAAUCAGGGCACACGUGCUAGCAACGAUGCGAGACUGUUCCACUGGCAGAGUUGGUCGAGGACAAUCACCAGGAUGCGGGAAUCGUCAGCUAGAUGGCGUCACUAACGAGUUCACACAAUUCCCCUAUCACGACCAUAUAUUCCAACGACCGAUCUUUGCCCAAAAAUAACCACGAAAUCUAAAAACCGAAACGAACGAACCGCGCGUAAACACGAUCUCAUCAUCGGCAAGCAUUCCCGGAAACAGAUCUGCAAACUCACACCGUUUCCGAUCAUAUCUCGCGAUUCACCACGUAUGCCCUGGCCACCACCACCAUCACCGCUACUACCAUCUACAGGCAGUUGCGCAUAAUUGGGAAUCGAUGAGAGAGGAUGCAACCGGUCGUGAAACGAACGAACCGCGAGGAUGAGCGGGCAAAGUGGGUUGGGUUGGGUGGGUGACAAUGCAAAAGAGAGAGAGAGAGAGAUCGCUUAGAUUUAAGUGACAUCGAGCAUCGCACAAUGGUGCUGAUUGCCGAAAUUAGCUGGCGCAGCCUCUGGCGACACGGCUCACGAGGCUCGUUGCAGAGAUGGUGGUGGUUAGGAAAGGAGGGAAAGAAGAGAGAGAGAGUGUGGAAAAGAAAAGGAUCGAUGGGAGAGGAGGGAGAGAGACAGACAGAUUUGUAGGACGAAGUUCCGCGUGGUUGGUAUGGAUUACGGAGACAAUUGCGACUUCCUCUCUGCAACGCAGACGUUACGUGUUUGCUGCGAGCAACGAAGCUGUUUAAAAAUCGAGCCGAUUUUUCAAAGUGGCUAGGAGGAAGCAACGUGAUAUGAAUGAAAUAAGAAAUAUCAGAUUAUUGAUCGAAAUUAAUUCUUCCAUGAGCCUCGUGAAUCUCAACCAACACGUGAUGCAUAAUGAUUUAAUUUUAUCACAUGAAACAAUAUUUUUAUUACGUGUUAUUUUGUAAUGUGCAUCAGAGAGUAUUUAAACACGACAACUUGUCAAAUCCAAAAAUAUAUUCUUUUUAAAAAUACAUGAAAUAAAUCCACAUAAAUCACAUUCUGCAAAAAAAAAAAAAACUAAUGUUACGAAAACCGA
Apis mellifera (honey bee) is the source of this 2574-nucleotide long non-coding RNA. RefSeq lists it as uncharacterized. The record is from RefSeq and is a predicted model, not a curated record. The transcript has 3 exons. Lineage: Eukaryota; Metazoa; Arthropoda; Insecta; Hymenoptera; Apidae.